RNAcentral lists this unclassified non-coding RNA (693 nucleotides) under Hevea brasiliensis (rubber tree). Lineage: Eukaryota; Viridiplantae; Streptophyta; Magnoliopsida; Malpighiales; Euphorbiaceae. The record is from RNAcentral.
AUGUUUCUUGCAUGCCCAAUGCCCUAAUUGAAGACCCAAGAUUGCAACCCCACAGUCAAGUCAAUAAGAUCAUGUAGGCCAAAACAGACCAGGCAGACAAAGAAAGAGAAAUCACUAAAAAAAUCCACACAAGUGCAUUAUAAAGGAAACAGAUAUUAUAUAGCAUUAAGCUCUAACUAGCACAGCUGGUUAAACAUAGCAAUUCUUUUUCUUUUAAUUCUUGGUGGCAGCGGAGGGAUGGUGUAGCUGAGUAGGUGCCAGUACACUCUAAUUCAAAGAUGAAAAAUAAUCUCUUCCCCACACAGUACAUUCACAAGAACAAGGUUACAGUUCCAUGCCAAGUUGCCUACAAGUUUAAAUUGACUAUCGUAAACCCUCAUGACCAAUAUCUUGCAACACAUAUGGUCCAUUCAGUAAAUCAGAUUCACAUUAUGGAAAUAGCAAAGAUCAUAUGUAUGAGAGAAAAUGUAACAUUGAAUUUUCAAUACUAUGUCAUCAAAGAUCAGAAUACAAUGCUCAUCAAACUGCAAAGCAAUUUUGAAGAGGGCAGAAUUCACCAUUGAAUGUAGGCAAAAAGACAUUAACAAAUAUACAACUUUUUAGUGCAUAACGGCAACAACAUUAAAUGCAUGAAAGGUGGCAUUAACAUUUAAAAGAAAAUUCCUAAUACCAUUGAUCUUCCUACAUUCAUAA